UUCCGGUUGAUCCCGCCGGACCUGACUGCUAUCGGAUUGAUACUAAGCCAUGCGAGUCAUUGUAGCAAUACAAGGCAGACGGCUCAGUAACGCGUAGUCAACCUAACCUAUGGACGGGAAUAACCUCGGGAAACUGAGAAUAAUGCCCGAUAGAACACUAUGCCUGGAAUGGUUUGUGUUCCAAAUGAUUUAUCGCCGUAGGAUGGGACUGCGGCCUAUCAGUUUGUUGGUGAGGUAAUGGCCCACCAAGACUAUUACAGGUACGGGCUCUGAGAGGAGUAGCCCGGAGAUGGGUACUGAGACACGGACCCAGGCCCUAUGGGGCGCAGCAGGCGAGAAAACUUUGCAAUGUGCGAAAGCACGACAAGGUUAAUCCGAGUGGUUUCUGCUAAAGGAACCUUUUGUCGGUCCUAGAAACACCGAUGAAUAAGGGGUGGGCAAGUUCUGGUGUCAGCCGCCGCGGUAAAACCAGCACCUCAAGUGGUCAGGAUGAUUAUUGGGCCUAAAGCAUCCGUAGCCUGCUUUGUUAGUUUUCGGUUAAAUCUGUACGCUCAACGUACAGGCUGCCGGGAAUACUGCAAAGCUAGGGAGUGGGAGAGGUAGACGGUACUCGGUAGGAAGGGGUAAAAUCCUUUGAUCUAUUGAUGACCACCUGUGGCGAAGGCGGUCUACCAGAACACGUCCGACGGUGAGGGAUGAAAGCUGGGGGAGCAAACCGGAUUAGAUACCCGGGUAGUCCCAGCCGUAAACCAUGCAAACUCAGUGAUGCAUUGGCUUGUGGCCAAUGCAGUGCUGCAGGGAAGCCGUUAAGUUUGCCGCCUGGGAAGUACGUACGCAAGCAUGAAACUUAAAGGAAUUGGCGGGGGAGCACCACAAGGGGUGAAGCCUGCGGUUCAAUUGGAUUCAACGCCGGAA
This 915-nucleotide ribosomal RNA is filed under the name uncultured archaeon. RNAcentral describes it as "bacterial SSU rRNA". It matches the Rfam family "Archaeal small subunit ribosomal RNA", at positions 1 to 923 of the family's 1478-position model. The record is from RNAcentral.